UUGGGGUUAGGAGUAUAUCGACUCCUAGAACUGUUUAUGAUCAAAAAAUAAUGGGGAGGAUAGCAGUUGAACUGCAAGGCAGGGUAAAUGAUUGCAGGGCACUCACUUACAGGCAGGACAUCAAGGCGAAGGAUAUUGAAAAGUACACAACACUUAAACUUCCAACACAUCAGCGGGGGUUAUGUUGUGAUUUCAACUCCAGAUGGUAUUUUGGAUCAUGAAGAAGCCAUUAGUAGGAAUGCGGGUGGACAGGCUUUUGGUUAUUUUCAUUAGACUUGUCUGUCCUUCUGCUCUUUAUUGGACGGGAAAAAGAGAAGACUGGUUCUUUGAGAUCUGGUUUAUCUGUGAACUUUGAACGACAAAAGCAAACUUCAAAGCAGAUCCUAGAAAAGCCCGGGUCUUUCUGCAGUGGAAAGUAUUUUUUAGCUACUGUCUCUUCAUUAUUUUGAUUUAAGAUAAGUGUAAAUAUCAUUUUAGAAUUUUGAUGCUGCAAACAUUAUUUGUCCCAAUUUGAAGUGCCACAGGUGGUAUGCCAAUGAAGGCUUUUCACCUAUGAUAUGCCCCAAUUUUCUUGUAACAGUACCAUUGUCAAAAUGGUCACUCAGCUACACCACCCCAAGAUAGAACAUAAUUUUAAGUGACAGCAACUCAGGCUC
Molecule: non-coding RNA, 656 nt
Organism: Theobroma cacao (cacao)
Lineage: Eukaryota; Viridiplantae; Streptophyta; Magnoliopsida; Malvales; Malvaceae
Source: RefSeq, a predicted model, not a curated record